UGGGGAAUUUUGGACAAUGGGCGCAAGCCUGAUCCAGCAAUGCCGCGUGCAGGAUGAAGGCCUUCGGGUUGUAAACUGCUUUUGUACGGAACGAAAAGCCUCUCUCUAAUACAGGGGGUGAUGACGGUACCGUAAGAAUAAGCACCGGCUAACUACGUGCCAGCAGCCGCGGUAAUACGUAGGGUGCAAGCGUUAAUCGGAAUUACUGGGCGUAAAGCGUGCGCAGGCGGUUUUGUAAGACAGUGGUGAAAUCCCCGGGCUCAACCUGGGAACUGCCAUUGUGACUGCAAGGCUGGAGUGCGGCAGAGGGGGAUGGAAUUCCGNGUGUAGCAGUGAAAUGCGUAGAUAUGCGGAGGAACACCGAUGGCGAAGGCAAUCCCCUGGGCCUGCACUGACGCUCAUGCACGAAAGCGUGGGGAGCAAAACAGGAUUAGAUACCCCUGGGUAGUCCACGCCCUAAAACGAUGUCAAACUGGUUGUUGGGGGAUUUAUUUCUUCAGUAACGAAGCUAACGCGUGAAGUUGACCGCCUGGGGGAGUACGGCCGCAAGGUUAAAAACUCAAAUGAAUUGACGGGGUC
RNAcentral lists this ribosomal RNA (579 nucleotides) under uncultured bacterium. Its description in RNAcentral is "partial 16S ribosomal RNA". It matches the Rfam family "Bacterial small subunit ribosomal RNA", at positions 355 to 920 of the family's 1533-position model. The record is from RNAcentral.